CUUGAAUCACAGGACUGAAUAAGGAAGAGCUGCCCUCAGCGUGGCCGGGCAACAUCUAAUCGGCUGAAAGCUUGGAUCGAAUGAAAAGGCAGAGGAAAGGUUCUGAAGACCUCAAAUGGACUGAGCCACACUACCAGCAUCCAGCAUCCAUGGUUCUCCAGUCUGCAGAUGGCCUAUUAUGGGACUUUUCAGUCUUCAUAAUUAUAUGAGAGAAAGAAAAUGAAAAGGAUUUGUAAACUAUAAAUCUCUAAACAGAUGGGAGGAAAGGAAUUGAUGAAACAAUAAAUUUAUUGAUGAAACAAUAAAAAUAAACAUAAAGAACCAAAGACACACAGCUGGCAUUUGAUUUCUGAAGUUACCAUGGAUUGAAUGCUGAUUUCAAAAGGAGCCAGAAAAGCGAAGGUAAAGUGUAUAGGCUGAGAGCUUUGAUGUGCCAGAAACCAUGAAGGAUAUUUUGUAAAACUUCACUUGCUCUUCUCAACAUUUUCAGUACAUUUUAUCAAUCCUAUUUUACAGGUGAGGAAACGGAAACUCAUGAAAACAAAGAAACUCAUCCAAAGUUUCUCUGCAAAUACAUGAUUGAGUUAAAGGAGCUGUGGAAUAAAAAAAACAAAAACAAAAACAAAACAAAAAAACAGGCUAAGCUAGGAAGUUACAAAGAGUGUUACACUGCGCCUUUAAGGAAAACUUUCCUUCAUCAUUCCUGUAAGCGUGGACAUGCAACUUCUCUCACCACAAAGGUACAGAAAACAUUUCUAAAAAUGUGCUGAUAACAGAACAAGGAGGCAUGAUUUGAAAAGCUGCACAAAAUCCUGCGUUUUCAUACCCCCUAGCAUAUGGUCAUGCAUGCAGUUAAUGGACACUGAGCAAAUCAC
RNAcentral lists this long non-coding RNA (875 nucleotides) under Homo sapiens (human). Its description in RNAcentral is "HSALNT0312134". The record is from RNAcentral. Lineage: Eukaryota; Metazoa; Chordata; Mammalia; Primates; Hominidae.